GUUUCUAUAGUGUAGUAGUCAUCACGUUUGCCUCACACACAAAAGGUCCCUGGAUCAAGACCAGGCAGAAACA
Molecule: non-coding RNA, 73 nt
Organism: Gekko japonicus
Lineage: Eukaryota; Metazoa; Chordata; Lepidosauria; Squamata; Gekkonidae
Source: the annotation of a RefSeq genome assembly